This 224-nucleotide unclassified non-coding RNA is filed under the name uncultured fungus. RNAcentral's name for it is "sequence contains ITS1, 5.8S rRNA gene". The stretch from base 176 to 224 matches the Rfam family "5.8S ribosomal RNA", at positions 1 to 49 of the family's 154-position model. The record is from RNAcentral. Lineage: Eukaryota; Fungi.
UUUCCGUAGGUGAACCUGCGGAGGGAUCAUUACUGAGUGAGGGCUUCGGUCCGACCUCCAACCCCAUGUGAACCGAAACCUGUUGCUUCGGGGGCGACCCUGCCUUUCGGCGCGGCGCCCCCGGAGGCUCAUCAAACACUGCAUCAUUGCGUCGGAGUUAAAGUAAAUUAAACAAAACUUUCAACAACGGAUCUCUUGGUUCCAGCAUCGAUGAAGAACGCAGC